AACAGGUGGCACCAUUAGGUGUCGCACUCUCUCCACAGCCUGUGCCUCCAUAAAAGGGAAGCUGGAAGGGUGGUGGCCAGGUGUCAAUUUCCUGUGUGUGAGACCAGCUGCGUGUUGGGCCCGCGCUGUUUGCUGGCUGUGGUAGGUUGGGGGAAAUUGUUUUAAAGUGAUUCUUUUAAGUAAGUUGUGCUGAUGUGGUGUUUUUAUACAGGACUGCAUUAUUGAUGGUGUUCGGCUGGUAGCGUUACCUGGGCGUGGGUGUUCGACGCCGCAGGGUUGCACCAGAUUGGAUACACCAAGAUUUGAUUUGGAAGUGUUGAUUUAUGCAAUGCAGUUUUUGUACUGCCUCCUGCUGUCCUUUUUAGCGUUUGUUUUUUCUUUUUGUUAGUCCGCCCAGUUAGGAUCGUUUUUGCUUGUAGUACUUGUGAGGGCGGGCUGACAACUUUUCCAUUCAUUUUGUUUGUUUUUGUUUGUUGUUUAUUUUGUGGCACUUCCCUAAAUACUUAUAUCCUGUUUGGUGUGAUCCCCAUGUUGGGUUGACAACAAACGGAUAAAACUAGCGGGAAUCCUUCAUGUAUUUAAUAAUAAAUAUCAAUAAUUAACUUAA
Xiphophorus couchianus (Monterrey platyfish) is the source of this 607-nucleotide long non-coding RNA. RefSeq lists it as uncharacterized. The record is from RefSeq and is a predicted model, not a curated record. NCBI's taxonomy places the organism in Eukaryota, Metazoa, Chordata, Actinopteri, Cyprinodontiformes, Poeciliidae. The transcript is spliced from 3 exons.